UGAGGAAUAUUGCACAAUGGGGGGAAACCCUGAUGCAGCGACGCCGCGUGAACGAAGAAGUAUUUCGGUAUGUAAAGUUCUAUCAGCAGGGAAGAUAAUGACGGUACCUGACUAAGAAGCACCGGCUAAAUACGUGCCAGCAGCCGCGGUAAUACGUAUGGUGCAAGCGUUAUCCGGAUUUACUGGGUGUAAAGGGAGCGUAGACGGUAAAGCAAGUCUGAAGUGAAAGCCCGGGGCUCAACCCCGGGACUGCUUUGGAAACUGUUUAACUAGAGUGCUGGAGAGGUAAGCGGAAUUCCUAGUGUAGCGGUGAAAUGCGUAGAUAUUAGGAGGAACACCAGUGGCGAAGGCGGCUUACUGGACAGUAACUGACGUUGAGGCUCGAAAGCGUGGGGAGCAAACAGGAUUAGAUACCCUGGUAGU
This 423-nucleotide ribosomal RNA is filed under the name uncultured Lachnospiraceae bacterium. RNAcentral describes it as "bacterial SSU rRNA". It matches the Rfam family "Bacterial small subunit ribosomal RNA", at positions 355 to 794 of the family's 1533-position model. The record is from RNAcentral. Lineage: Bacteria; Bacillati; Bacillota; Clostridia; Lachnospirales; Lachnospiraceae.